GUAUAGUAGUGAGGCUGUGUUGUAGUAUAGUAGGGAGGUUGUAGUGAGGCUGAGCGUGUAGAGGUUGUGUUGUAGUAUAGUAGUGAGGUUGUGUUGUAGUAUAGUAGUGAGGCUGUGUUGUAGUAUAGUAGUGAGGCUGUGUUGUAGUAUUGUAGUGAGGCUGAGCGUGUAGAGGUUGGGUUGUAGUAUAGCAGUGAGGUUGUGUUGUAGUAUUGAAGUGAGGCUGAGCAUGUAGAGAUGUUUUUGUAGUUUAGCAGUGAGGUUGUGUUGUAGUAUAGUAGUGAGGUUGUGUUGUAGUAUAGUAGUGAGGCUGAGCAUGUAGAGGUUGUGUUGUAGUAUAGUAGUGAGGUUGUGUUGUAGUAUAGUAGUGAAGCUGAGCAUGUAGAGAUGUUUUUGUAGUUUAGCAGUGAGGUUGUGUUGUAGUAUAGUAGUGAGGUUGUGUUGUAGUAUAGUAGUGAGGCUGAGCAUGUAGAGAUGUUUUUGUAGUUUAGCAGUGAGGUUGUGUUGUAGUAUAGUAGUGAGGUUGUGUUGUAGUAGUGAGGCUGAGCAUGUAGAGAUGUUUUUGUAGUUUAGCAGUGAGGUUGUGUUGUAGUAUAGUAGUGAGGUUGUGUUGUAGUAGUGAGGCUGAGCAUGUAGAUGUUGUGUUGUAGCGAGGCUGAGAGUAGGUUGAGUAGGUUGUGAUGUAGUCUAGUAGUGAGGCUGACCAUGUAGAGGUGUUGUUGUAGUGUAGUAUAGUACGGAGGUUGUGUUGUAGUAUAGUAGUGAGGUUGUGAUGUAGUGAGGCUGAGAGACGGUUGUGAAGUUGUGCACAGUAGUCUUGUUUAAAACUGCAAGAUGGAGUGAGGUCAGGCCUGGUCUCAUUCAUAUUGUAUGAGGAGACUGCAGACUGAGGAGAAACACUUUGCUGCAUGUCUCAACCCGAAGGAUGGAGGACUGAUGCUUCUCCAUCGAUCCACGCAGGGAAAUUAUUUUGCCCAUGAGACAAUUUACAAACGAUGAAGUCCCGGUCGUGCAUACUUUAAGUGGAAAUUAAAAACGUACAUAUGCAUAGUAUAGAGAAAUAAGCCACAUUGCACAUGUUGUAGUAUAUUGAGAUCUUCGUGUCCAGCUCUCACUGGACUGACGAUCCAUGUGGACAUCGAUUUCAACCAGACCUCGUACAUCACUGCGGGGGUUUAGUUAGACCAAUAGCACGAGGGAAUACUGGGUCUGUGGUCAGGCUGGACCAAUAGCAGCUAAGCAUCCUGGUACUGAUGUCAGGCUGGACCAAUAGCAGCUAAGCAUCCUGGAUCUUGGGUCAGGCUAGACCAAUAGCAGCUAAGCAUCCUGGAUCUUGGGUCAGGCUGGACCAAUGGCAGCAAAGCCUCUUGGGUCUGCGAUCAGGCUCGACCAAUGGAAAGCUGGGGUCCUUGGUAUGGAUGGACCAAUAGCAGCCUAGCAUCCUGUAUCUGGGGUCGGGCUGGGCCAAUAGCAUGUUUGGGUCCUGGACCUGUUCUGUGGUGAAUCACUCUGGUGUUUUUCCGCUAUUCUCUUCCCUUGAAAACAAAGUGUUUGCUCAUAUGGUGGACGUGUGUUUUUUGUCUCCUCCGGAGCUGGCCGGGCGGGGUUAGUGACGUAGGGUGGGGUUAGUGACUCAGUGGAGAGGCCAUAAAGUCAAGGAAAUCACAGGAACGCCUCUGAACUCUUGAUGUGUUGGGAUGGCGUAUCCAGAGGACUAACAUAACCCAAACGUACGUGUGUGUGUGUGUGUGUGUGUGUGUGUGUGUGUGUGUGUGUGUGUGUGUGUGUGUGUGUGUGUGUGUGUGUGUGUGUGUGUGUGUGUGUGUGUGUGUGUGUGUGUGUGUGUGUGUGUGCGCUCUCUGUC
Gadus macrocephalus (Pacific cod) is the source of this 1864-nucleotide long non-coding RNA. RefSeq lists it as uncharacterized. The record is from RefSeq and is a predicted model, not a curated record. The transcript has 3 exons. Lineage: Eukaryota; Metazoa; Chordata; Actinopteri; Gadiformes; Gadidae.